CGAUCCAAUCAAGCGUCUUAAAGGGCAUUUGGUGAAUGCCUUGGCGUUGAGAGGCGAUGAAGGACGUGACACGCUGCGAUAAGCCAUGGGGAGCUGCGAGUAAGCUUUGAUCCGUGGAUUUCCGAAUGGGGAAACCCGACCAUUUAGGUCAUCCCGCAAGGGAAGCGAACCCGGGGAACUGAAAUAUCUAAGUACCCGGAGGAAAGGACAUCAACCGAGACUCCGUUAGUAGUGACGAGCGAACGCGGACCAGGCCAGUGGCCUGUUUCGAGAACAACCAGAAGUACCUGGAAAGGUACGCCAUAGUGGGUGAUAGCCCCGUAUGGGUAACGUUUUGAACGGGUCCUUGAGUAGGGCGGGACACGAGAAAUCCUGUCUGAACAUGGGGGGACCACCCUCCAAGCCUAAGUACUCCUCAACGACCGAUAGUGAACCAGUACCGUGAGGGAAAGGUGAAAAGCACCCCGAUGAGGGGAGUGAAAUAGACCUGAAACCGAAUGCCUACAAUCAGUCGGAGCCAUUUUGAGUGGUGACGGCGUACCUUUUGUAUAAUGGGUCAGCGAGUUACUUUGACGUGCAAGCCUAAACCGUUAGGUGUAAAGCGAAGCGAAAGCGAGUCUGAAUAGGGCGAUUUAGUACGUUUGAGUAGACCCGAAACCGGGUGAUCUAGCCAUGGGCAGGUUGAAGAUACGGUAACACGUGUUGGAGGACCGAACCCACUUCUGUUGAAAAAGGAGGGGAUGACCUGUGGCUAGGGGUGAAAGGCCAAUCAAACCCGGAGAUAGCUGGUUCUUUGCGAAAACUAUUUAGGUAGUGCGUUAUGUGAUUACUGCCGGGGGUAGAGCACUGGAUGGGCUAGGGGGGCGCGAGCCUUACCAAACCUAACCAAACUCCGAAUACCGGUAAGUACAGCAUGGCAGACAGACUAUGGGUGCUAAGGUCCAUAGUCGAGAGGGAAACAGCCCAGACCACCAGCUAAGGUCCCCAAGUUAUGGCUAAGUGGGAAAGGAUGUGGGAAGGCCAAGACAGCCAGGAGGUUGGCUUAGAAGCAGCCAUCCUUUAAAGAAAGCGUAACAGCUCACUGGUCUAGUUAAGCCGGCCUGCGCCGAAGAUGUAACGGGGCUAAAGCCAUACACCGAAGCUGUGGGCGUGCAUUGCACGCGGUAGCAAAGCGUUCCGUAAGCCUGUGAAGCAUAACCGUGAGGUUGUGUGGAGGUAUCGGAAGUGAGAAUGCUGACAUGAGUAGCGAUAAAGAGUGUGAGAAACACUCUCGCCGUAAGCCCAAGGGUUCCUGCGCAAGGCUAAUCCGCGCAGGGUGAGUCGGCCCCUAAGACGAGGGCGAAAGCCGUAGUCGAUGGGAACACGGUUAAUAUUCCGUGACCUGAUGGUAGUGACGGAUGGCGUAAGUUGUACAUGCUUAACGGAUUGUUGUGUGCAGCGAAGCUGUCCCAGGAAAUAGCUCCAUCAUUAAGACCGUACCCCAAACCGACACAGGUGGGCAGGUAGAGCAUACCAAGGCGCUUGAGAGAACGAUGUUGAAGGAACUCGGCAAAUUGCCCUCGUAACUUCGGGAGAAGAGGGACCUCCAUGAAGGCAACUUUUUGGAGGUGGCACAGACCAGGGGGUGGCGACUGUUUAUUAAAAACACAGGGCUCUGCGAAGUAGUUAAUACGACGUAUAGGGUCUGACGCCUGCCCGGUGCUGGAAGGUUAAGAGGAGGUGUGAGAGCUCCGAAUUGAAGCCCCAGUAAACGGCGGCCGUAACUAUAACGGUCCUAAGGUA
Molecule: ribosomal RNA, 1782 nt
Filed under: uncultured proteobacterium EBAC37G09
Lineage: Bacteria; Pseudomonadati; Pseudomonadota
Description: bacterial LSU rRNA
Rfam family: Bacterial large subunit ribosomal RNA
Source: RNAcentral